Molecule: transfer RNA, 74 nt
Rfam family: tRNA
About the family: Transfer RNA (tRNA) molecules are approximately 80 nucleotides in length. Their secondary structure includes four short double-helical elements and three loops (D, anti-codon, and T loops).
Source: Rfam
UCCUCGGUGGCGCAAUUGGCUAGCGCGUCUGACUGUUAAUCAGGAGGUUGAAAGUUCGAGCCUUUCCCGGGGAG